UUAAAGGUGGCUGAAGUUUUAAGCAUUAGAUUGUAAAUCUAAAUAUGAGUAUCUCUCUCUUUAAA
RNAcentral lists this transfer RNA (65 nucleotides) under Poecilasma litum. RNAcentral describes it as "tRNA-Tyr". It matches the Rfam family "tRNA". From Rfam's summary of the family: Transfer RNA (tRNA) molecules are approximately 80 nucleotides in length. Their secondary structure includes four short double-helical elements and three loops (D, anti-codon, and T loops). Lineage: Eukaryota; Metazoa; Arthropoda; Thecostraca; Poecilasmatidae. The record is from RNAcentral.